AUUACUGAGUCAGGUGUAAAAGUCCCUGGCUUAAAUAAUCUUGCAUUUUUAAAUAAAUACCUUUUGGGAGAAAAAAAUAUAUAGGGUGUGUGUGUGUGUGGAAUGUGAGAAAGUAUUGGUUGAGACCUUUUGGAUUACAACUUUGGUUGGAGAACCUUGAAAUGUGUUUGGACUCUGGACUGCCUGAGAAGGAGAAACUGUACAAUAGCAAUGAAGAAAAAUAAGAAGACGAAGAAGUAGAAGAAAAAGAAGAUGACGAUAAAGACGAAGACGAAGAAGACUACGAAGAAGAAGAAACUGCUAACACUUUCCAGUUUCUGUUCUUUUUCUUCAACACAUGCAUUUAACAGUGACCCUGUAUCCUCAUCUUAAGAAAACAGACAGUCAGACUUGAAAGGCAUGCGGCUUCCCAACAAAUUCCAUGCCAUCCAUAUGUGGGACGGGGCACAAAAUACUAACCCUGAGCUGACUGUAUAAUUUAAAUGAAUAAAUUAUGCAGUAUUACACAUGCAGGGGCGAUGAAAUGAUGCUGACUACAGAUAUUUCAGAGUUUGUUUAAACUUUGAGUUGAGUUGCAAGUGCAUUCAUUUUGGUUUGUGGGCUGUUGGUGGUUUGGGAGAGUGGAUCAUUUAAGAGGCAGAUGGUUUGUGCAUAGAAAAACAUUGUCUCAUAAAAAAAAACUUAGAUGAUUUUUAUACAUUGUUAGAUGCCUAUCACAAAAACACAAUUGAACUAAUCCUGUGCAACACACAACUUUAUCUUGUGUUAUUCUUCAAUCACUUGGCAGAUGUUGUCAUUGAGAAUGAUUUAGUGCAAAUCGUAAAAGAACAAGUACAGAAUAGUAAAUAGUAUCCACAUGAAAUUAAUCACACACAGACGUUGAUUAUCAGGACAACAAACUAAACUUUCAGGACUUUUAGCUGGUUGCAUCCCAAUUUGCACAAACAUUUUCGGGACAUUGGCGAUGACUAUGGUUAUAUUCCCAUUUGGUUGGGGGAUAAUACUAUGAUGAGAAUGUUCUCUAAGAUGAGAACAUGACGAAUGAAGCUUGUUUUCUUUGUAACUGACCAGGGUUGAGUUUUUAUUGCAAUGUUUGUUAUUGACCAUUAUUUGUUGUAUGCCUCCAGUGCCAGUGUUUGGUACUAAUGGGUCAGUCACUUAAUUAUGUUUGUGAAUUCUGGGAAAGAUAGAUAGAUAGAUAGACAGACAGACAAACAGACAGACAGACAGACGCUGGCACUGCCUAACAUUAACUAGAUAGCUUACUUAGCUAGCUAGAUAGUAAUGUUGCUUAGCCAAGGCAAGCAAAAAAAUCACUGCCAUAAUCACACAGCUUCC
This is a long non-coding RNA of Anguilla rostrata (American eel), 1338 nucleotides long. RefSeq lists it as uncharacterized. The transcript has 3 exons. NCBI's taxonomy places the organism in Eukaryota, Metazoa, Chordata, Actinopteri, Anguilliformes, Anguillidae. The record is from RefSeq and is a predicted model, not a curated record.